UUGGAGCGUGCCGGCCCCUUCUGGGUUUCCGGCUCCUCUUCAAAUGCAUCAGUGGAACCAUCGGACCAGCUCCAGCGUGAUAAUUAUCUACGUUGCCGCCGCGAAGUGAACGGAUCCGCUUACAACCGUCGCAUGACAGGGGUUCGCCUCUAUAAUGACAAUUUGACCUCAAAUCAGGUAGGAUUACCCGCUGAACUUAA
This 200-nucleotide unclassified non-coding RNA is filed under the name soil metagenome. RNAcentral's name for it is "partial contains internal transcribed spacer 2 and large subunit ribosomal RNA". The record is from RNAcentral.